Molecule: ribosomal RNA, 245 nt
Filed under: uncultured Veillonellaceae bacterium
Lineage: Bacteria; Bacillati; Bacillota; Negativicutes; Veillonellales; Veillonellaceae
Description: partial 16S ribosomal RNA
Rfam family: Bacterial small subunit ribosomal RNA
Source: RNAcentral
CCAGCCGUAAACGAUGGGUACUAGGUGUUGUCACUUCAUUGUGGCAGUGCCGGAGUUAACGCAAUAAGUACCCCGCCUGGGGAGUACGGCCGCAAGGCUGAAACUCAAAGGAAUUGACGGGGGCCCGCACAAGCGGUGGAGCAUGUGGUUUAAUUCGAAGCAACGCGUAGAACCUUACCAGGGCUUGACAUCCCUCUGACAGGUGUAGAGAUACAUUUUCUUUUCGGAGCAGAGGAGACAGGUGG